This is a non-coding RNA of Triticum aestivum (bread wheat), 115 nucleotides long. Lineage: Eukaryota; Viridiplantae; Streptophyta; Magnoliopsida; Poales; Poaceae. The record is from Rfam.
GUUGUACUACCUCCGUCCGGAAUUAGUUGUCGCUAAAAUGGAUGUAUCUAGAUGUAUUUCAGUGUUAGAUACAUCCUUUUGAGUGACAAGUAAUUCCGAACGGAGGGAGUAGUAA